Molecule: long non-coding RNA, 919 nt
Organism: Myotis myotis
Lineage: Eukaryota; Metazoa; Chordata; Mammalia; Chiroptera; Vespertilionidae
Exons: 4
Source: RefSeq, a predicted model, not a curated record
AGACAGAUCAUAAGGAGGUGGUAUUUGAACUGAGGUCUAAAGAAUGCAUUUAUUGGAUUGUGUGGGAAAGAAGAGGAGAUGGAUUUGAAAGGCCUUUUGGAAAGGAUUUGAAAGCCAUGGUGAGGGAGCAGACAGCGAAGUUGAUUUGCCCGAGGCCACACCGCUUGUAAGAAAUCCUAGAACCCAUGUCUCCUGAACUCAAAUUCAAUGACCUUCGAGACUCUGCCCUCUGGACAGCUUAUGCAGCCCGUCUCUGCCUGUCACAGGCUGCAAGAGUCCUGCUGGGAACACCAACCGGCAGUACUAGAAGGUGUUCAGCAAGAGGCUGGCCAUCACCUGUGGGGACCGCGGAGGAGGGGUGCUCUGCCUGGUUGGAAGUCUGCCUGUUCUGAGAGUCCUGAUUUCUCUGGAUGUGAGCUCUGUCCUCCGCGAUGGGACCUGUCAGCCUGCUCAGAGGAAAUAGCAAUAAAUUGAAUGCAACGGACACCUCUUCUGAUACUUGCUACUUAUCAAAACUUUCAAGCAUGAAAAUAUCUUUGUCUCCCCCUCUCGAAAUGGACAUAACCUGCAAAUAGAGCACCUCGAGAAAAGUACACCCAUAAAAACAAUAAAACAAUACCGCGUGUACUGGUUAAUAAUGCAGAUUUUGUAAUCAAAGAAAACACGAUAAUUUAAGAGAAACAUCAAAAGUGCUUUAUUCAAAGUAUUGUCUAUCGCUAGCUACACAUUUCCCCCAUCUUUCAGGUAAUUUGUGGAUACUGUCCCCACAGAACUUUUUCGGAAUAAGUGGUCAUCUGAAGGAGCAAUACAACAAAAUAGCAUAAUAUCAAAUCACAUAUAUAUCAACAUAUGUGUAGCUCCAUCUAUUGACAAACAUCCGCAUUAUUAACCAGUACACCUGGUAAAACAAUACUGCAAA